CUUCCCAUAAACCUUCUCUCCUUCCUCCUCACCGUCUCCCCCAGAUUUGCCUCCCCAGAUUCCGUCCCGCUUCGCCUCGCCGGCCGCCGCCGCCGCCCGCGCGCAGCCCUCCCACCGGGGCACGCCCGCCGGCUUUCAAUUGGAGGAAUUCGGAUCUCCUCCUCCUCCUCUGCUGGGCUUGCUUGGAGCGGAGAUCCGCCGGGACCUCAGUUUUCG
This 216-nucleotide ribosomal RNA is filed under the name Triticum aestivum (bread wheat). Its description in RNAcentral is "partial small subunit ribosomal RNA". Lineage: Eukaryota; Viridiplantae; Streptophyta; Magnoliopsida; Poales; Poaceae. The record is from RNAcentral.